This 94-nucleotide transfer RNA is filed under the name Collariella sp. IMI 366227. RNAcentral describes it as "tRNA-Asp". It matches the Rfam family "tRNA". From Rfam's summary of the family: Transfer RNA (tRNA) molecules are approximately 80 nucleotides in length. Their secondary structure includes four short double-helical elements and three loops (D, anti-codon, and T loops). Further hydrogen bonds mediate the characteristic L-shaped molecular structure. tRNAs have two regions of fundamental functional importance: the anti-codon, which is responsible for specific mRNA codon recognition, and the 3' end, to which the tRNAs corresponding amino acid is attached (by aminoacyl-tRNA synthetases). tRNAs cope with the degeneracy of the genetic code in two manners: having more than one tRNA (with a specific anti-codon) for a particular amino acid; and 'wobble' base-pairing, i.e. permitting non-standard base-pairing at the 3rd anti-codon position. The record is from RNAcentral. Lineage: Eukaryota; Fungi; Ascomycota; Sordariomycetes; Sordariales; Chaetomiaceae.
UCUUCCGUAGUAUAGUGGUCAGUAUGUGAGCUUGUCAUCGGAUCCACAAGCCCAGACAUCGCUCGAGACCCGGGUUCAAUUCCCGGCGGGAGAG